AUACGGAGGACGCGAGCGUUAUCCGGAUUCAUUGGGUUUAAAGGGUGCGCAGGCGGCCGUGCAAGUCAGCGGUGAAAGCCCGGGGCUCAACCCCGGAAGUGCCGUUGAUACUGCAUGGCUGGAAUGCGGUCGAGGCGGGCGGAACGUGGCGGGUAGCGGUGAAAAGCGUAGAUAUGCCACAGAACGCCGAUAGCGGAGGCAGCUCGCCGGGCCGGCAUUGACGCUGGGGCACGAAAGCGUGGGGAUCGAACAGGAUUAGAUACCCUGGUAGUCCACGCCGUAAACGAUGGGCGCUCGUCGUCGGCGGCAGACAGUCGGCGGCCAAGCGAAAGCGAUAAGCGCCCCACCUGGGGAGUACGGUCGCAAGGCUGAAACUCAAAUGAAUUGGCGGGG
Molecule: ribosomal RNA, 393 nt
Filed under: uncultured bacterium
Lineage: Bacteria
Description: partial 16S ribosomal RNA
Rfam family: Bacterial small subunit ribosomal RNA
Source: RNAcentral